GACGAACGCUGGCGGUGUGCUUAACACAUGCAAGUGGUGCGACGAACCAGAGCUUGCUCUGGGGCAAAGCCGCGAACGGGUGAGUAACACGUGGGUAAUCUACCCCGAUGACCGGGACAACCCGAGGAAACUCGGGCUAAUACCGGAUGUGGUACGGAGACAUAAGUCUCUUUACUAAAGGUAGCUUCGGCUUCCGCAUUGGGAGGGGCCCGCGGCCCAUUAGCUAGUUGGUGGGGUCAAGGCCUACCAAGGCAACGAUGGGUAGCUGGUCUGAGAGGACGAUCAGCCACACUGGGACUGAGACACGGCCCAGACUCCUACGGAGGCAGCAGUGGGGAAUCUUGCGCAAUGCGCGAAAGCGUGACGCAGCAACACCGCGUGAGGGAAGACGGCCUUAGGGUUGUAAACCUCUUUCAGAUGGGACGAAGGUGAUGCGGUGAAUAGCCGAUGUCAUUGACGGUACCGUCAGAAGAAGCUCCGGCUAACUACGUAGCCAGCAGCC
This 502-nucleotide ribosomal RNA is filed under the name uncultured bacterium. RNAcentral's name for it is "bacterial SSU rRNA". It matches the Rfam family "Bacterial small subunit ribosomal RNA", at positions 28 to 516 of the family's 1533-position model. The record is from RNAcentral.